Molecule: non-coding RNA, 29 nt
Filed under: Rattus norvegicus (Norway rat)
Lineage: Eukaryota; Metazoa; Chordata; Mammalia; Rodentia; Muridae
Source: RNAcentral
UCCCAUUGCAGGGCUUAAGGAGCUGUGUG